GGCGAGUGGCGAACGGGUGAGUAAUACAUCGGAACAUGCCCAUUAGUGGGGGAUAGCUCGGCGAAAGCCGAAUUAAUACCGCAUACGACCUUCGGGUGAAAGGGGGGGAUCUUAGGACCUCUCGCUAUUGGAGUGGCCGAUGGCUGAUUAGUUUGUUGGUGGGGUAACGGCCUACCAAGACUGCGAUCAGUAGCUGGUCUGAGAGGACGAUCAGCCACACUGGGACUGCGACACGGCCCAGACUCCUACGGGAGGCAGCAGUGGGGAAUCUUGGACAAUGGGCGAAAGCCUGAUCCAGCAAUGCCGCGUGUGCGAUGAAGGCUUUCGGGUUGUAAAGCACUUUUAUCAGGGAAGAAAUGGUUUGGGAUAACACCUCAAAUAGCUGACGGUACCUGAAGAAUAAGCACCGGCUAACUACGUGCCAGCAGCCGCGGUAAUACGUAGGGUGCAAGCGUUAAUCGGAAUUACUGGGCGUAAAGCGUGCGCAGGCGGUUUGCUAAGACAGGUGUGAAAUCCCCGGGCUCAACCCGGGAACUGCAUCUGUGACUAGCAGACUAGAGUUUGGCAGAGGGGGGUGGAAUUCCUGGUGUAGCAGUGAAAUGCGUAGAUAUCAGGAGGAACACCGAUGGCGAAGGCAGCCCCCUGGGCCACCACUGACGCUCAUGCACGAAAGCGUGGGGAGCAAACAGGAUUAGAUACCCUGGUAGUCCACGCCCUAAACGAUGUCAACUAGUUGUUGGAUCUUUUUUGAUUUGUAACGAAGCUAACGCGUGAAGUGACCGCCUGGGA
RNAcentral lists this ribosomal RNA (789 nucleotides) under uncultured beta proteobacterium. RNAcentral's name for it is "bacterial SSU rRNA". It matches the Rfam family "Bacterial small subunit ribosomal RNA", at positions 90 to 878 of the family's 1533-position model. Lineage: Bacteria; Pseudomonadati; Pseudomonadota; Betaproteobacteria. The record is from RNAcentral.